Molecule: ribosomal RNA, 732 nt
Filed under: Triticum aestivum (bread wheat)
Lineage: Eukaryota; Viridiplantae; Streptophyta; Magnoliopsida; Poales; Poaceae
Description: partial small subunit ribosomal RNA
Source: RNAcentral
AUGGAACACGACAAGGCAGAGAAAAUGAAAGGAAAAAGUGAUCUACCCUAUGGCAAUCAGCCUAAUCUUGAAAAUGAAAGUGGAAUCCUCGAGGGGGAGGGGCCAAGCAAAUACAUCGUCCAGUCUCUUGAUUCAUCGAUGGACAAUGAGAAUGAGGUGAUUCCCACCCCUCCUCUUGUCACAGAAGAGAAUCUUCGCUUCAGUUUGCGCAACACCCAGACUAACCUGAUGCGAAUUGAUAAAAAGGCAGCUGCAGUGGCCAAGAAGCGCAAUCUGGAAGGUAAUAACAGUAAUAGUAACUCCUUUGAUGUGCUAUCUAAUCCUGAGUUAGUUUUACGUGCUGUUAAAAUGGGUGUCGAUAUUCCCGACACAGACUUUGCGAGCAUAGAUAUUCUUCGUGAACUUGAAAAAUCUCGAGUUAAUGCUCUGAAUAGUAAUAAGGAUAGCACUCAAGACAAUGACGAGAAUAAAAGUAUGUUCGUUAUCAAUGCCAAAGGGGGUAAAAUACCUUUAAGUACGGAUUGGGGGGAUGAGGGGAACCCUGACACUGAUACUAAUGAAUUUACCCUGGUUAAAUCUAGAAGAAGAUCUAGGAAACCUGUGGUGAAUGUUAGUAGACCUGUCACCAGGAGUCAGAGAGACAGGGAGUCAGCCCUGAUCAAAGUGGGUAACCUUGUUCAGCUUCCUAACAAGGUUACCAGGGGGAGAAAACAUAGUACAGUUGUCAAAUGA